CCUACGGGUGGCAGCAGUGAGGAAUAUUGGUCAAUGGGCGGGAGCCUGAACCAGCCAGGUCGCGUGAGUGAAGACGGUCCUAUGGAUUGUAAACCUCUUUAGGCGGGGAGCAAUGCCGGGCACGUGUGCCAGGAGGGAGAGUACCCGCAGAAUAAGCAUCGGCUAACUCCGUGCCAGCAGCCGCGGUAAUACGGAGGAUGCGAGCGUUAUCCGAAUUUAUUGGGUUUAACGGGUGCGUAGGCGGAUUGUUAGGUCAGCGGUAAAAGCCCGGGGCUCAACCCCGGCUAGCCGUUGAAACGGGCGGGCUGGAGUGGAAGAGAAGUAAGCGGAAUGCGCGGUGUAGCGGUGAAAUGCGUAGAUAUCGCGCAGAACACCGAUUGCGAAGGCAGCGUACCGGCUCCACACUGACGCUGAGGCACGAAAGCGUGGGUAGCGAACAGGAUUAGAGACCCGUGUAGUC
RNAcentral lists this ribosomal RNA (460 nucleotides) under uncultured bacterium. RNAcentral describes it as "partial 16S ribosomal RNA". It matches the Rfam family "Bacterial small subunit ribosomal RNA", at positions 338 to 795 of the family's 1533-position model. The record is from RNAcentral.